This 496-nucleotide ribosomal RNA is filed under the name uncultured bacterium. RNAcentral's name for it is "partial 16S ribosomal RNA". It matches the Rfam family "Bacterial small subunit ribosomal RNA", at positions 28 to 507 of the family's 1533-position model. The record is from RNAcentral.
GAUGAACGCUGGCGGCGUGCCUAAUACAUGCAAGUCGAGCGAACGGACGAGAAGCUGCUUUUCUGAUGUUAGCGGCGGACGGGUGAGUAACACGUGGAUAACCUACCUAUAAGACUGGGAUAACUUCGGGAAACCGGAGCUAAUACCGGAUAAUAUUUUGAACCGCAUGGUUCAAAAGUGAAAGACGGUCUUGCUGUCACUUAUAGAUGGAUCCGCGCUGCAUUAGCUAGUUGGUAAGGUAACGGCUUACCAAGGCAACGAUGCAUAGCCGACCUGAGAGGGUGAUCGGCCACACUGGAACUGAGACACGGUCCAGACUCCUACGGGAGGCAGCAGUAGGGAAUCUUCCGCAAUGGGCGAAAGCCUGACGGAGCAACGCCGCGUGAGUGAUGAAGGUCUUCGGAUCGUAAAACUCUGUUAUUAGGGAAGAACAUAUGUGUAAGUAACUGUGCACAUCUUGACGGUACCUAAUCAGAAAGCCACGGCUAACUACGUG